UAGAGUAAGGGUAGUUACUGGGCAGAGUGUGUCCCAGAUUAUAGCAUUGCUGGCUGUCAGUGAAUAGAGUAAGGGUAGGUACUGGGCAGAGUGUGUCCCAGGUUAUAGCAUUGCUAGCUAGCAGAAUAUAGAAUGGAUAGAGUAAGGGUAGUUACUGGGCAGAGUGUGUCCCAGGUUAUAGCAUUGCUGGCUGUCAGUGUAUAGAAUGGAUAGAGUAAGGGUAGUUACUGGGCAGAGUGUGUCCCAGGUUAUAGCAUUGCUGGCUGUCAGUGUAUAGAAUGGAUAGAGUAAGGGUAGAUACUGGGCAGAGUGUGUCCCAGGUUAUAGCAUUGCUGGCUGUCAG
Molecule: non-coding RNA, 343 nt
Organism: Pelobates cultripes (western spadefoot toad)
Lineage: Eukaryota; Metazoa; Chordata; Amphibia; Anura; Pelobatidae
Source: the annotation of a GenBank genome assembly